Rhincodon typus (whale shark) is the source of this 1855-nucleotide long non-coding RNA. RefSeq lists it as uncharacterized. The record is from RefSeq and is a predicted model, not a curated record. The transcript is spliced from 3 exons. Lineage: Eukaryota; Metazoa; Chordata; Chondrichthyes; Orectolobiformes; Rhincodontidae.
CAAGGGUUUCACAGCGUGCGCGGGUGCGCGCACACCGCACAGAUAGGGCUCGUGCACGCGCCCCGAGAACAUAACAGAGACAGAGCCUGUCUUUGUUUCGCUUGGAAUCACCAACACGCUCAAAGUCAGCAACAAGCAGAGGCUGAAAACCUGGCACUGAAUGAAUAAGCGCAGAACCCGUUGGAUGAAGCGGUAGCUCCCAAGGUGCCUGUGCCGAACCUGCAGUUGUGUGGGAAGGCAGGGGAGGGAGAGAGAGAGCGCUGCUAGAGGGAGCGCGCCCAGCGGGUAGGCGGCGACGUGCAAGCUCGAGCCCAAGCCUGAGCACGCGCGCCCCCUACUCCGGGCCGGUCGGCCGCGUGCUCCCGGGGCGGGGCGGAGUCUCGCUCUCGAUGCGAGUGUGAGUCAGUGAGCGAGAUAGUGAGAGAGAGAGAGCCCGGGCGGUUUCCUGUGUUUGUGUGGCUCAGGGAAGGAGGGAGAGCUGGGAGCUCGAGUUACUGCCACUUGAUCAUGGCAUAAAGAAGAGGAGGAAGCAACUUCCCAAAGCUCGUAUGCAAUCCUAAAUGCACGAAUCUCACCCGACAAGGACAGUAAAGAAGAAAAUAUCAGACAAAUUUAACGAAAAUGGCGAACGACUCUCCUGCUAAAAGUCUGGUGGAGAUAGAUCUCUCCUCUUUGCGGGACCCAGCGGGCAUAUUUGAAUUGGUUGAAGUGGUCGGAAACGGUACAUAUGGGCAAGUGUACAAGUAAUUGACUUCCAGUAUCUGGUUUCACGGGCGAUGACUGACUGCCCCAUAAUACUUCAAAUUUAAACCUGUCAAUAGUCAUUGUUAUUAUGAAGGCUAUCUCAGCAGAAUCUGACCUCAGUCCUCACCUUUUACCAUGUGUACUUUGAAGAGGGCAUCACUGAAGAGGAGCAGUAUCAACAGCACUGGUUGGUUUUCUAACUUCUUUGCGCAGAGUUGGUGGAUUCAACUAUAGAAUCAAGGCCUAUUUGAGGCUGGAAAUUGGAAUUUGAAACCAUAUUCAUCACUGUGCCACACCGGACAGUCUCUUUUUAUUUGUCCAACUUGGACAAUUGCUUCACGUAUUAAAUUUAUGCUGACAAUGCCUAGGAAUGACCAACUUCGACUGGAAAAAAUAUUCCCUUGGCUGCUGUUGUGUUGGAUGCAGGAAGAUAUGUUCAGUACAAAAGUGCAUGAGAGUUUUGUACCAUAGAUUCCAAGCAUCCAAUUUAAAACCUUUUUAAAAAUUGCUCCCAUUUUUAAACUUUCUGCAGCUCAUCAGUGUAUUGUUUAUCAUUAGCACAAUAGCAUUUUGAGCAUAGUGUUUUUUUACCAGUGCCUGUCCAAAUUAAAGAUAAUUUUUCUGGUUUUUUCAAUUAAAAUGUCUUUUAUUAUGGGACCGGUGAGAAGAAUUUUGAGCCUUAUUUUUGUUUAAACUUGAUGCUCCUUAUAACAUUUAAUUUUAAUUGACAGUUGUAUAUUUGGUAGACAAUGAAAAACACAAUGUAAUGUAUCUUGUUUUACUUCAGCUACCUAUAAUUUUCAGUUAGUAAAUCAGCAUUGUAUAUGGUUGCAGCUUAUGUUGUGGAGUAUUGAAAAGGGGCAUAAAUGAUAAUUGAGAACAGUAUUCUGCUACCCGUGAAAGGGUGUGACAGAUACUCAUUCAAAUUUUUUUAACCAAUAUUCUCAGUCAUUACAUAAUGUUAUAAUAUUUAGAAAAUGCUCCAAUUUUAAUUUGUAAGACAUGCAAUUAUAUUUGUAUUCAAUGUAUCUAUUUUCAAGUUUCAAACAAGCGUAGUACAAAUAAAGUCAGCUUCAAAGAAUAGAGGGUUACUUCAGUCGUCAGACUUAAU